UAACCUCAGAUCAGGCAAGAUUACCCGCUGAAUUUAAGCAUAUUAAUAAGCGGAGGAAAAGAAUAACAAAGGAUUCCCCUAGUAAUGGCGAAUGAAGAGAAUAGCUCAAAUUGAAAAUCUCCAUUGUGUUGCAAUGGCGAAUGUAGUUUCGAGAAAUACUCCGCACGUCGGGCCUGCCUAAGUUGCUUGGAACAGCACGUCAUAGAGGGUGACAACCCGUUACGUGGCAAAUUGUGUUUGCGAGGUGUUUUCGAAGAGUCGGGUUGUUUGGGAAUGCAGCCAAAAUGGGUGGUAAACUCCAUCUAAAGCUAAAUAUGGGCACGAGACCGAUAGCGAACAAGUACCGUGAGGAAAGAUGAAAAGGACUUUGAAAGAGAGUUAAAAGUACGUGAAACCGUUGAAAGGAAGCGAAUGGAGUUAGCAAUUCGUUUGUCAGAUUCAGUUGCAUGCACGCAGCAACGUGCGCGCUCUUGAUCCGCAUGGACAAGGUGUACGGAUGCAACAUGCAGGCACGCUUUGGCAACGAGCGUCAGCAUUGGUUGUUGUUGAGCGAUAAGGUUGCAAGGAAGGUAGACGAAUUUAUCGUUGUUAAGCCUUGCAUUCGCAUGGUUUGAUGACAACCAUGGCACUGCAACGUGUGCUUUGCUGGCAACAACUUCUCGGUCCGACAUGUGACUGUGGUGGACGGCUCGCCUGUGCCUCAAACUGCUGUCGGUCGCGUGUUGGUGUUUGCACAUUACACGUUAAGGAUGCUGACGAUCAUACGGCUAUCCGACCCGUCUUGGACCAAGGAGUCUAACAUGUGCGCAAGUCUCCGGGUGAUUGAAACCUGUGGGCACAAUGAAAGUAAAGACUGUCCUAGACAGUUGAGGUGAGAGUCUCAUCGAGACUGCAUCAUCGACCGACCUAUUCUGCUCUCAGAGAGGUUUGAGUAAGAGCGUAUCUGUUGGGACCCGAAGAGAUGGUGAACUAUGCCUGAAUAGGGUGAAGCCAGCGGAAACACUGGUGGAAGCUCGUAGCGAUUCUGACGUGCAAAUCGAUCGUCGAAUUUGGGUAUAGCGGCGAAAGACUAAUCGAACCAUCUAGUAGCUGGUUCCUCGAAGUUUCCCUCAGGAUAGCUGGAGCUCUUUGUGCAGUUUAUCAGGUAAAGCGAAUGAUUAGAGGUCUAGGGUCAGUGACCUUAACCUAUUCUCAAACUUUAAAUUGGUAAGAAGUCAACUUGUAACUGAAGUUGGACAUUCGAAUGCUGAAGCUCUUAGUGGGCCAUUUUGGUAAGCAGAACUGGCGAUGCGGGAUGAACCGAACGCCGAGUUAAGGUGCCAAAGUCGACGCUCAUCAGAUCCCACAAAAGGUGUUAGUUGAUAUUGACAGCAGGACGGUGGCCAUGGAAGUCGGAAUCCGCUAAGGAGUGUGUAACAACUCACCUGCCGAAUCAACUAGCCCUGAAAAUGGAUGGCGCUCAAGCGUCGCACUAUACUCGGCCGUCAAAGCAAGUGCGAUGUUUUGACGAGUAGGAGCGCAGUGGUCGUGACGCAAGCCUGGCGCAAGCCAGGUGAAACGGCCACUGGGUGGUGGACGGACGGUUGAGUCGAUCCUAGAGAUAGAAAUUCCGUUACAAAGCGUCCCAUUUGUGGACCGCCUAUCGAAAGAAAGGAAUCGGGUUAAUAUUCCCGAACCAGAACAGGGAUACUGCCACCUAGUGGCACAAGCGUAACACAACCGAACUCGAGACGUCGGCGAGAGCCGGAAGAGUUCUCUUUUCUUUAACGGACAACGUUACCCAAAUCGGUUUAGCCGGAGAUAGGGUUUCACGUCCGGUAAACCCCACUUCUUGUGGGGUCCGGUGCCUUUGACGGCCCUUGAAAAUCGGGAGUGGUUCAUUUUCUUGUCUGGUCGUACUCAUAACCGCAGCAGGUCUCCAGGUGAGCAGCCUCUAGUUGAUAGAGACAAUGGAAGGGAAGUCGGCAAAAUAGAUCCGUAACUUCGGGAAAAGGAUUGGCUCUAAGGGUUGGGUCUGUCGGGCUGGGACUUGAAGCGUGAGGACUCGGCGUGGGCUGACGGAAUGCGUGGCUUGCUGCGUGUCUAAGUCGGACUGCGAAGGGACUUCGCGUGGAUUAUCUCGCUGUGACCGUCAGGUCGAUUCGGCAAACAAUUAACAACCAACUUAGAACUGGAACGGACAAGGGAAUCCGACUGUUUAAUUAAAACAAAGCAUUGCGAUGGCUAGUGAUUGGUGUUGACGCAAUGUGAUUUCUGCCAGUGCUCUGAAUGUCAAGUGAAGUAAUUCAUCCAAGCGCGGUAAACGGCGGGGUAACUAUGACUCUCUUAAGGUAGCAAAUGCCUCGUCAUCUAAUUAGUGACGCGUGAAUGGAUUAACAGAUUCCCACUGUCCUAUCUACUAUCUAAAACCACAGCCAAGGAACGGGCAGGCAACAGCGGAAAGAAGACCCUGUUGAGCUUGACUCUAGUCUGACUCUGUGAAGAACAUGGAGGUGUAGAAUAAGUGGGAGGAGCAAUCCGUCGGUGAAAUACCACUACUCUUAUCGUUUUUACUUAUUCGGUGAAGCGGAGCUGGACAUCAAGUCCACUUUUGGAAUUAAGAUCGCUCUUCUGCCGGUCGAUCCGAGCCGAACACUGUCAGGUUGGGAGUUUGGCUGGGGCGGCACGACUGUCAAAUGAUUGCAGGUGUCCUAAGGUGAGCUCAAUGAGAACGGAAAUCUCAUGUAGAAUAAAGGGUAAAAGCUCACUUGAUUUUGAUUUUCAGUAUGAAUACAAACUGUGAAAGCAUGGCCUAUCGAUCCCUUAGUCUUUAUGAGUUUUAAGCUAGGGGUGUCAGAAAAGUUACCACAGGGAUAACUGGCUUGUAGCGUAAGCGUUCAUAGCGACGUUGCUUUUGAUCCUUCGAUGUCGGCUCUUCCUAUCAUUGCGAAGCAGAAUUCGCCAAGCGUCGGAUUGUUCACCGCCAAUAGGGAACGUGAGCUGGGUUUAGACCGUCGUGAGACAGGUUAGUUUUACCCUACUGUUGAAGUGUUGUUGCAAUAGUAAUUCUGCUCAGUACGAGGAGGAACGCAGAUUCCAGACAAUGGUGGGCUCAUGUACGCCUGAAAAGACAAUGGUGCGAAGCUACCAUCUUGUUCCGGAUUAUGAUUGAACGCCCUCUAAAUCCAGAUCCGUGCUAGAACCUGGCAAUUCCUUUCUCUGGACGACUUAAGCGAACCCAGAAUAGAGAUGCUUGUCAUCUCCGUCUGAAUGUGCCUACAGUGCGGACUAUGCGCAAAGCACUGCAUUGAUCAAAAUCUGAAUGUUUCAGAGCUAAAAUCCUUUGCAGACGACUUAAAAUAAGAACGGGGUAUUGUAGCAGUAGAGUAGCCUUGUGCUACGAUCUGCUGGUCGCCUUGUUUAAGAUUUGU
Xenia sp. Carnegie-2017 is the source of this 3410-nucleotide ribosomal RNA. The record is from RefSeq and is a predicted model, not a curated record. Lineage: Eukaryota; Metazoa; Cnidaria; Anthozoa; Malacalcyonacea; Xeniidae.